Molecule: long non-coding RNA, 1762 nt
Organism: Musca domestica (house fly)
Lineage: Eukaryota; Metazoa; Arthropoda; Insecta; Diptera; Muscidae
Exons: 4
Source: RefSeq, a predicted model, not a curated record
CCAGGUAGCAACAUAGGCGAAACUCACAACAAAGUAUUUAUUUGAAGUAUAGAAUUUGGGGCAAAUUGGUUUGCACCAAUCAGAACAUUGGAUUUUUGAAACAUGAACGUGUGCGUUGUUGUGAAUUUUAAUUUUUCCCUGGCUCCCUAAUUGCUACAGAAGAUUUCGUGAACUCGAUGGACUCGCAGUGCGCAUAAUGUUUAUCCAAAAUCAAUCUCUAAAUCGGAUAUAAAUGAGGGAUUUAAAUUGGAUUAAAACUUCCCCAGACUAGUUAUCAAUCGUAUUAAUGUUGUGAACUUUGAUUUAGACUGUGACAAAAUUAUGGUCUCUCGUGCAAAUUCAGAUCCAAUUUGGGCUAGCUACUUUCCGAAUAAGGUAUUUUUGGUGCAGUCACAAUUUCGGCGAGCUCCCCAAAGCGAAAGUAUAUCACUGACGGUUCUGAGUCUAUUACCUAAACAUUAAAGUAAAUUCUUUUGAGGAUUCGAGGAUGUUUGUAUCUCUGGAAACAGGAUAUUUCUUAAAAUGUGAUGUUAACAUAGAAGCUUGUUAGAUUUAAUAAAUAUUGAAACGGUUAACAAUUCCAUUAGGGCAUCUAUAUUGAGCAAAUAUUCGGUUUAAAAAUUUCCAAUUGUGAUUGUUUCCAACUGUAUUGGCAUUUACACACAACUAGAGCCCAAAUAAAAUUGUAUUCCCAUUGCAUUCCAGUUUAUUAUAUAAGAGAUUCAAGAAGCAUAAUGUUAAGGGUUUUAAGCACAUCUGAGAGUUCGUUUUUUGCGCCUUAGAAUAAUGUCAAUCAUGUUCACAUUGGUGUAACUACUUAAAGAAUAUUUCUAAUGUUUCACAGUCGCAUUUUCAGCAGACUCAUGCAGUGUUUAUCGUGGUCUCAUAGUGCAAAUCGUUCAAACAUUUUUUUAUGGGCAUAGGUGUGGCGAAUUCAAAUUACAACAAUUUUUUUGACAUAUCAAAUUGAUACCAGCUGGCGUGAAAGGGUUACCUUGUAAUUCUACCAUGCUUACAAUAAAAAUAAUUCAUUCAUUUCUAAAUUUUCUUCAGAAAAAUAAACCACAAACUUUUUUAAAAACUUAAUUGUUGGGAUUUUAUUUAACCCAUGAACUCAAACAACUGCUGACUCCAGACAAAGAAUACCGAUAGCUGUUCAAAUUGGUUACAUUCGACACAAGAACUAUUCAUGGCAACGGGCGCUACGAAUGCAACAUCACCAAUUGAAGUUCUGCGCUGUGAAAGCAAAUCGAAUCACAAUUCAUUAUGGCUGGCGUUACACAGGAUUCAACAAAAUGCCGCACAAUUGUCGCGUCAAUUGAAAGCAAUAUUUUGAAGGAGGCAUCAGACAUAAGCGUCUGAAAAAAAUAUUGACGAACAAGGACGAGCUCGGCGACAAAAGGCCUUUAAAAUUGAUUUUGCUGCUUUGAUACGUCAGUGUUUCCAUAACCAUCAUUUUGUUAAUUUUUUAUGUAAUGUCAUUAGAAGGCAACACCAACAAAUUUAAAAUUUAUCAAAAAAUUGUCAAAUAAAAUAGAUGAAUGUCCAGAAAACAUUUGUAGAAUGUGGUCCUUUCAAACAAUUCACAUUUCACAUCACACACGGCAUUUUGGCAACCUCUUUGUACAACUUCACUUUUCGUAGAGUUUAUUUGAAUUAUUUAUUUGAGUUUAAGAUGAUACCGGAAAUCAUUUCAUGCUCUAUAAUUGACUAAAUAGCUUUUAUUUAUACAGGGUGAGAUGAAAAAACUGCAACCAACUUC